GAUGAACGCUGGCGGCGUGCCUAAUACAUGCAAGUCGAGCGAACGGACGAGAAGCUUGCUUCUCUGAUGUUAGCGGCGGACGGGUGAGUAACACGUGGAUAACCUACCUAUAAGACUGUGAUAACUUCGGGAAACCGGUGCUACUACCGGAUAAUAUUUUGAACCGCAUGGUUCCAAAGUGAAAGACGGUCUUGCUGUCACUUAUAGAUGGAUUCACGCUGGAUUAGCUAGUUGGUAAGGUAACGGCUUACCAAGGCAACGAUGAAUAGCCGACCUGAGAGGAUGACCGGCCACACUGGAACUGAGACACGGCCCAGACUCCUACGGGAGGCAGCAGUAGGGAAUCUUCGGCAAUGGGCGAAAGCCUGACGGAGCAACGCCGCGUGAGUGAUGAAGGUCUUCGGAUCGUAAAACUCUGUUAUUAGGGAAGAACAUAUGUGUAAGUAACUGUGCACAUCUUGACGGUACCGAAUCAGAAAGCCACGGCUAACUACGUG
This 497-nucleotide ribosomal RNA is filed under the name uncultured bacterium. RNAcentral's name for it is "partial 16S ribosomal RNA". It matches the Rfam family "Bacterial small subunit ribosomal RNA", at positions 28 to 507 of the family's 1533-position model. The record is from RNAcentral.